AACGAACGCUGGCGGCAGGCUUAACACAUGCAAGUCGAACGAUCCCUUCGGGGAGAGUGGCAGACGGGUGAGUAACGCGUAGCAAUCUGCCUAUCACUACGGAAUAACAUCGAGAAAUCGUUGCUAAUACCGUAUACGUCCUCCGGGAGAAAGAUUUAUCGGUGAUAGAUGAGGCUGCGUUAGAUUAGCUAGUUGGUGAGGUAAAAGCUCACCAAGGCGACGAUCUAUAGCGGGUCUGAGAGGAUGAUCCGCCACACUGGAACUGAGACACGGUCCAGACUCCUACGGGAGGCAGCAGUGGGGAAUAUUGGACAAUGGGCGAAAGCCUGAUCCAGCCAUGCCGCGUGAAUGAUGAAGGCCUUAGGGUUGUAAAAUUCUUUCGCUAGGGAUGAUAAUGACAGUACCUAGUAAAGAAGCCCCGGCUAACUCCG
RNAcentral lists this ribosomal RNA (431 nucleotides) under uncultured Robiginitomaculum sp. Its description in RNAcentral is "bacterial SSU rRNA". It matches the Rfam family "Bacterial small subunit ribosomal RNA", at positions 29 to 505 of the family's 1533-position model. Lineage: Bacteria; Pseudomonadati; Pseudomonadota; Alphaproteobacteria; Maricaulales; Robiginitomaculaceae. The record is from RNAcentral.